CAGCCUUGCCCGGGGUGCGCAAGGAAUGCGCUGAGAUGGUCGACCAAACCCGCGAACUUGAUCCGGUUCAUACCGGCGUAAGAAGAGCCAGACUGCAGUCCC
Molecule: non-coding RNA, 102 nt
Filed under: Burkholderiales bacterium
Lineage: Bacteria; Pseudomonadati; Pseudomonadota; Betaproteobacteria; Burkholderiales
Description: TPP sequence
Rfam family: TPP riboswitch aptamer (THI element)
About the family: Vitamin B(1) in its active form thiamin pyrophosphate (TPP) is an essential coenzyme that is synthesised by coupling of pyrimidine and thiazole moieties in bacteria.
Source: RNAcentral